AAGAAGGUACUCUCUUGUA
This 19-nucleotide small nuclear RNA is filed under the name Arabidopsis thaliana (thale cress). Its description in RNAcentral is "snRNA_14957". Lineage: Eukaryota; Viridiplantae; Streptophyta; Magnoliopsida; Brassicales; Brassicaceae. The record is from RNAcentral.